CUGUCUCCCAGGCUGGAGUGCAGUGGUGCGAUCUCGGCUCACUGCAACUUACGCCUCCCAGGUUCAAAUGAUUCUCCUGCCUCAGCCUCCUGAGGUGCUGGGAUUACAGGUGCCUGCCACCAUGCCUGGCUAAUUUUUGUAUUUUUAGUGGAGACGGGAUUUCACCAUGUUGGCCAGGCUGGUCUGAACUCCUGACCUCGUGAUCCUCCCGCCUCGGCCUCCCAAAGUGCUGGGAUUACAGGUGUGAGCCACCGUGUCUGGCCCUGCCCAGGCCCUUUCUACAGAGGGCCUUGUGACGUAUCUCUGCAUCAAUCACCUAGGAGAGUGACUCUCCAUUUUUGCCUGCACUCUGCCUACAGGAAAAAUUGUGACUUAUCACUAGACUCAGGUAAUGUGUCUCCCCUGCCUGGGCCUGGACCACAGAGAGCAUUGUUAUCCAUUGCUGGGCUCAGCACCCAGGUGAUGUGACUGCUGCCUAUGUCCUGCUUUCAGGGGAAGUUUGCAACAUAUUCCUGGCUAAAUAUUCAGGUGAGGGCCGGGCGUGGUGGCUCACGCUUGUAAUCCCAGCACUUUGGGAGGCCGAGGCGGGCGGAUCACGAGGUCAGGAGAUCGAGACCACGGUGAAACCCCGUCUCUACUGAAAAUACAAAAAAUUAGCCGGGCGUGGUGGCGGGCGCCUGUAGUCCCAGCUACUCCGAGAGGCUGAGGCAGGAGAAUGGCGUGAACCCGGGAGGCAGAGCUUGCAGUGAGCCGAGAUUGUGCCACUGCACUCCAGCCUGGGCGACAGAGCGAGACUGUCUCAAAAAAAAAAAAAAAAUAUUCUGGUGAUGUGAUACUCCUAUCUGGUCUCUGCCCUCAGAAAAGACUGUGACAUAUUCCCGGCCCAAAACCCACGUGAUGCGACUCCUCUCUCCCUGUUCACAGGUGGGAUUGUGAAAUAUAGCUUGGCCCAGUUCGCAGGCGCAAUUAUGACUCUUCUACCUUCAAUAUGCCAGUAAGAGAGAUGCUGCCUCUUAUAGCUAAGCUUAGGGUUAUGAGUAUUAUUCUGGGUCUCUUUCUUGUACAAAUGUCAUAGAGAAUUACUUUUUUUUUUUCUUUUUUUUGAGAUGGAGUUUCGUUCAUGUUGCCCAGGCUGGAAUGUAGUGGUGCAGUCUCGGCUCACUGCAUCCUCCACCUCCUGGGUAAUUUUUAUAUUUUUAGUAGAGAUAGGAUUUUGCCAUGUUGGCCAGGCUGCUCUUGAACUCCUGACCUUGGGUGAUCCACCCACCUCGGCCUCCCAAGGUGUUGGGAUUACAGGCAUGAGCUACCACGCCCAGCUGAGAAUUACCACUUUUUUUUUUUUUUUUUUUGAGACAGGGUUUCGCCCUUGUCGCCCAGGCUGGAGUACAAUGGCGAGAUCUUGGCCCAUUGCAGCUUCCGCAUCCUGGGUUCAAGUGAUUGUCGUGCCUCAGUCUCCUGAGUAGCUGGGAUUACAGGCAUGUGCCACCAUACCUGGCUAAUUUUGUAUUUUGAGUAGAGACGGGGUUUCUCAGUGUUGGUCAGGCUAGUCUAGAACUCCCGACCUCAGGUAAUCUGCCUGCCUCGGCCUCCCAAAGUGCUGGGGUUACAGGUGCCAGCCACCAUGCCCAGCCAAAUUACCACUGUUUUGAAUACUAUGUAAAUCUCUCGUGGUAUAGAGACUGUCAUUAUAGAGUUCAGCAAGAAGGUGAGAUUGUGUUUCUUCUUUGCCCACCUCACCAACUGUUAAAAUUGUCACCCUCACAGUGAUGGAGCCCACUGGUGAGGUCCUGAAUCUCAUGCACAGACACAGUCCACAGUUAAAAUUGUGGCUGUUAUAUGUGAACAUUCUGCAGGAGUUUGAAUAAUGACUUAUUUCUAAAUCUAGUUCAUAGGUGAGAAUUUUUCAAUCUGAACCAAUGAGAAGUCUACUGACUUCCUGAGGACAUGUUGACUCUCAUACCUGGGCUGAGUGCCAGAGCGAACACAGCUCACAAGAGAGAUGGAGGCUCUUAUGCACAGGUUCAGUUCGUUGGUGAAAUUGUCACUAGCAUACUUAGACCCAACAUAGAGAACGUGGUGACUCUCAUACCUAGAACUGGGACCUGUACGGGAUUAAUUCGUCACUGGACCUUCCUGCAGGUGUGGUUGUGACAUUGGCCAGCACCUGAGUGAUAGCAGUUUCCUGUCUGGUCCCAGCCCAAAGGUAAAAUUGUAAUAUAUCAGUGGUCCCAGCACCUAGGUGAUAUGACUCUCCUCUUUUUAUGGGACCCUACAAGUUUUGGGUAUUGUAAAAUAUUACUGAAUCCUGCACACAUGUUAUGUGACUCUCCCACCUGUGCCCUACAUGUUGUGCCAUAUUAUGGCACAAUAUGUCACAUUAGAAAUUGUUACAUAUGGCUGGGCAUGGUGGCUCAUGCCUGUAAUCCCAGCACUCUGGGAGGCUGAGAUGAGCAGAUCACUUGAGGUCAGGAGUUCAAUACCAGCCUGGCCAACAUGGUGAAUCCCCAUCUCUACUAAAACAAUAAAAAAAUUAGCCUCGUGUGGUGGCACAUGCCUAUAAUCCCAGCUACUUGGGAGGCUGAGGCAAGAGAAUCACUUGAAUCCAGGAGGCAAUGGUUGCAGUGAGCCGACAUCACACCACUGCACUGCAGCCUGGGCAACAGAGCAAGACUGUCUCAAAAACAACAACGACAACAACAAAUUGUUACAUAUAAGGCCGGGCACAGUGGCCUCACGCCUGUAAUGCCAUCAGUUUGGAAGGCUGAGGCGGGUGCAUCACCUGAGGUCAGGAGUUGAAGACCAGUCUGAUCAAUAUGGUGAAACGUCUCUACUAAAAAUACAAAAAUUAGCCGGGCAUGGUGACGUGCGCCUGUAGUCCCAGUGACUUGGGAGGCUGAGACAGGAGAAUUGCGGGACAUGGAGGUUGCAGUGAGCCAAGAUGCGCCACUACACUCCAGCCUGGGCAACAGAGCGAGACUCUGUCUCAAAAAAUAAAAACAAAAAAGAAAUUGUUACAUAUUGUUGGGUCCAACACCCAGGGGAUGUAACACCUUUUCUCUGGACCCUGCCUACAUGGAGCUUUGUGACGUAACUCAAUGAUGCCCGUCACCAUGGUGAUGUUACUAUCUUCUUUUUUUUUUUUUUCCGGAGACAGAGUCUCGCUCUGUUGCACAGGCUGGAGUGCAAUGGUGUGAUCUUGGCUCAUUGCAACCUCCACCUCCCAGGUUCAAGCGAUUCUUCUGCAUUGGCCUCCUGAGUAGCUGGAACUUACAGGCAUGUGCCACCACACCCAGCUAAUUUUUGUAUUUUUAGUAGAGAUGGGGUUUCAGCAUGUUGGCCAGGCUGGUCUCGAAUUCCUGGCUUCAAGUGAUCCACCCUCCUCAGCCUCCCAAAGUGUUGGGAUUACAGGUGUGAGCCACUGCGCCCGGCCAGUAAUAUUACUUUCUUCUCCUGCCUGGUCUCUGCUCACAGAGACCUAGCAUCAAGGUGAUGUGACUCUUAUUUUUCUUAGGCCCUUCAUAUUUGUGUAUUGUGACAUACUGCUCAGCUGAACACCUAAAGGUUGGGAGUCUCCUACCUGGGCCCUUCCUACAGGGAGCAUUGUGACAUGUCCCUGCAUUCAUCAUCAGGAGAUGUGACUCUCCUCUUCUGCCUGCACCCUGCCUACAGGGAAAAUUGAGGCACAUUGCUGUGGCCAGCAACCAGAUGCUGUGUUUUUUCUGCGUGGGUCUUUAUUACAGAAAUGAUGGUUGACAUAUCGCUGGGCCCAGCAUCCAGGUGAUGUGACAGUCUUCUUCUGUCUGGUCCCUGCUUACAGGAACAUUGUAGCAUAUUGCUACGCCCAGCACCUACCUGAUGGGAUUUUUCCCUGGUUUUAGGUUUUGCCUGCAGCAGACACUGAAAUAUUGCUAGGCCCUGCACUGACAUGUGAGUCUUCUGCCUAUGAUUUGGCCACUUGGGCCAUUGUGACAUAUUGCUGGGUCCAACAGCCAGGUGAUAUAACUUUUAUGCCUGGACCGUGCCUACGGGUGGCAUUUUGAAAUGUCUUUGCACCAGUCACACAGGUGUGAUUGUGACACAUACCUCUGCUCAGAAUGUGAGCGAUUUGACUCUCCUGCCUGGGCCCACUACACAGAUGGGAUUGUGACAUAUCACUGGACCCAGCAUGUAAAUCAUGUGAUCCUAUACUCUUGCCUUGGUGCUGUCACAGAGGGCAUUGUGACAUAUCACUGGUCCCUGCACCCAGGUUAGAUUGUGACAUACACUUUAGCCCAGUUCACAGUUGCGAUGAUGAUACUCAUACCACAAACCAGUCCGUAGCAGAGGUGCUGGUAGCUAGACUUAGAGAAACAGGUAAAGUCCUGGAUUACCAUUCUUUCACAUUUUGUGUAGUCUUUGGAUGGUACAGAGAGUGUUAUCAUAGGGCCAAGCACACAGGUGAGACUGUUUCUCAAAUGCACAACCUACCAAAUGUUGGCAUUGUCACCCUCACAGAUGGACAGACCCCACUGGAGAGAUCCUGAAUUUCACACGUGAAUGGAGUCCACGUAAAAAUUGUGACUGUCAUAUGUAAUCAUGUGGUAACAGUUAAGAUGGUGACUCAUUUCUAAACCCAGCUCAUAGGCAGGUGAGAACUCUUUUCUCUAGACCCAGCCAAUUGGAGAGGUGUUGACUCUAAUGCAUGAGCCUAGGUCCACAGGUAUGAUUAUGAAUUUGCAUUAGAAAAAAAAGUCUCAGAGCAAGUUGUGACUAUCAUGGAUAUUGUAUAAAGCCCUCAGGUAGUACAGAGAGUUCUAUAACAGGGCCUAGCACACAGGUGACAUUGUGACACUCGUAUGCAAACCCAGCCAACAGUAAAAUUGACAACUUUUCACAUGAACACAGCUCACUGUUGAAGUUCUGAAUCUCACACCUGGAGGUGGUUGGAAAAUUGACUCUCAAAUGUGGAUUCGGUUCACAUGUGGGCUGGUGACUCUCAAACCAAGAUUCAGCAUACCUGUGAGGCUGUGACUCCACUAAGGGGACACAGUCCACAGCAAAGAUUGAGGCUCUGAUGGAUGUACCAGUCCACCAUUGAGAUUGUGACUCGUGUACUUGGACUCAACAUACAACACGUGUUGACUCUAAUACUUAGAAAUGGGAUGUGUGAGAUUGUUCAUUCCUACAUUUUUUUGCGACUGUGAUUGUAACAUACACCUUUGCCCAGCACCUGAGUGAUUUGACCCUCCUGCCUGGUGCCUAGUGCACAGAUCGGAUUGUGACACAUUGCUGAGUCCAACACCUAGGUGGUGUGACUCUGUACUUUUGCCUCAGCACUGUCCACAGGGGGGCAUUGUGACAUAUCACUGGACCCCACACCCUUGUUAUGUGACUCUCCUGCCUGUGCCCUGUCUUCAUGGGCCAUUGUGACAUUGCUAUGUGCAACAUCCAGGUGAUGUAACUUUCCUUGCUGGGUCCUGCUUGCAGGAAGCAUUAUAAUCUGUCUGUGCAUCAAUCACCCAAGUAAUGUGACUCUCUCUCUACCAGGUUGCUGCUUACAGAAAGAAUUGUUACCUAUCACUGGGCCAGCACCUAGCUGUUGUGAUGCUUCUUUUUCUACCUACAUUCAGCUCACAAUGUAGAUUUUGACAUACUGCAGGGCUAAACACCAAAAAUGAAGUUACAUUUUUCCUCAGCACUUUCCUCAUCAGGCAUUGUGACAUAUUGUUUGGCCCAGAACUAAGGUAAUGUGAGCCUCCUGCCUGAACCCUGCCCAUAGUGGGCAUAGUGACAUAUUUGUGAACCCAUCAUCCAUAUAAUGUGACUUUCUUACUUGGCUUUUCCCUAUAGGAGAGAUUGUGACAUAUAUUUGAGCCCAGAACCCAAAUAAUUUGACCCUUCUUUCCUGCUAUGGCCAUGCUCCCAUAAAAGAGAGUGACUUAUCACUGCGAUUAGCACACAGGCUAUGUGAUUCUUCUGCCUGGUUCCUCUCCACAGGGGUUAGUUUGACAUAUCUCUGGGCCCAUUACUUAGAUGAUGUGACUCUUAUUCCUGGGAUGUGUUCGCAGUUUGGAUUGUAACAUACUGCUUAGUCAAGCACUUAUGUGAUGUGACUCUUUUCUCAUGCUUUGGCCUUGUCCACUGGGGUGCUUGUGAUAUGUAGCUGGGCCCAGCUCUUAGGUUAUGUGAUCUCUGUUUUGUUUUUUUUUGUUUUUUGCCUGACCUCUGCAUACAUUUUGUAUUGUGAUAUAUAUGGCUGGGUCCAACACCUAGGUAUGAGUCUCCUGAAUGGGCUCUGUUCAGAAAUGUAUUAUGACAUACUCUUUUUUCUUCAUCACUUAAGUGUUGUGACUCUCCUUU
Symphalangus syndactylus (siamang) is the source of this 6339-nucleotide long non-coding RNA. RefSeq lists it as uncharacterized. The record is from RefSeq and is a predicted model, not a curated record. NCBI's taxonomy places the organism in Eukaryota, Metazoa, Chordata, Mammalia, Primates, Hylobatidae.